RNAcentral lists this ribosomal RNA (477 nucleotides) under uncultured organism. RNAcentral's name for it is "partial 16S ribosomal RNA". It matches the Rfam family "Bacterial small subunit ribosomal RNA", at positions 329 to 797 of the family's 1533-position model. The record is from RNAcentral.
ACGUACACUCCUACGGGAGGCAGCAGUGGGGAAUAUUGCACAAUGGGCGCAAGCCUGAUGCAGCCAUGCCGCGUGUAUGAAGAAGGCCUUCGGGUUGUAAAGUACUUUCAGCGGGGAGGAAGGCGAUAAGGUUGAUAACCUUGUUGAUUGACGUUACCCGCAGAAGAAGCACCGGCUAACUCCGUGCCAGCAGCCGCGGUAAUACGGAGGGUGCAAGCGUUAAUCGGAAUUACUGGGCGUAAAGCGCACGCAGGCGGUCUGUCAAGUCGGAUGUGAAAUCCCCGGGCUCAACCUGGGAACUGCAUUCGAAACUGGCAGGCUAGAGUCUUGUAGAGGGGGGUAGAAUUCCAGGUGUAGCGGUGAAAUGCGUAGAGAUCUGGAGGAAUACCGGUGGCGAAGGCGGCCCCCUGGACAAAGACUGACGCUCAGGUGCGAAAGCGUGGGGAGCAAACAGGAUUAGAUACCCGGGUAGUCCCA